GGACCCGCACAAGCGGUGGAGCAUGUGGUUUAAUUCGAUGCAACGCGAAGAACCUUACCUGGCCUUGACAUCUGUCGAAUCCUGCAGAGAUGCGGGAGUGCCUUCGGGAACGACAAGACAGGUGCUGCAUGGCUGUCGUCAGCUCGUGUCGUGAGAUGUUGGGUUAAGUCCCGCAACGAGCGCAACCCUUGUCCUUAGUUGCCAUCAUUCAGUUGGGAACUCUAAGGAGACCGCCGGUGACAAACCGGAGGAAGGUGGGGAUGACGUCAAGUCAUCAUGGCCUUUAUGGCCAGGGCUACACACGUGCUACAAUGGCAGGUACAGAGGGAAGCCAACUCGCGAGAGGGAGCCAAUCCCAGAAAGCCUGUCGUAGUCCGGAUCGGAGUCUGCAACUCGACUCUGUGAAGUCGGAAUCGCUAGUAAUCGCAGAUCAGCAUUGCUGCGGUGAAUACGUUCCCGGGUCUU
RNAcentral lists this ribosomal RNA (465 nucleotides) under uncultured bacterium. Its description in RNAcentral is "bacterial SSU rRNA". It matches the Rfam family "Bacterial small subunit ribosomal RNA", at positions 917 to 1382 of the family's 1533-position model. The record is from RNAcentral.